CAAAUUAGAACUUGAUAUAAAGUAUUUUAUUUACAAUAAAACGUUAAAUGUGAAAUUCAUUUUAAUUU
This 68-nucleotide transfer RNA is filed under the name Rentonellum sp. NLG-2013. RNAcentral's name for it is "tRNA-Val". Lineage: Eukaryota; Metazoa; Arthropoda; Insecta; Coleoptera; Rentoniidae. The record is from RNAcentral.